RNAcentral lists this vault RNA (90 nucleotides) under Terrapene triunguis (Three-toed box turtle). RNAcentral's name for it is "Terrapene carolina triunguis (Three-toed box turtle) Vault RNA (ENSTMTG00000017848.1)". It matches the Rfam family "Vault RNA". From Rfam's summary of the family: This family of RNAs are found as part of the enigmatic vault ribonucleoprotein complex. The record is from Rfam by way of RNAcentral. Lineage: Eukaryota; Metazoa; Chordata; Testudines; Emydidae.
GGGCUGGCUUUAGCUCAGCGGUUCCUUCAACUCUCUAAAAACCCAGCCCCUCCGGGGGUUUGAGACCCGUGGGCGCUGUCUGGCCUUUCG